UAACUGCUAUAAUUAAUCACCAUCAAAGAC
Molecule: non-coding RNA, 30 nt
Filed under: Mus musculus (house mouse)
Lineage: Eukaryota; Metazoa; Chordata; Mammalia; Rodentia; Muridae
Source: RNAcentral